Molecule: ribosomal RNA, 575 nt
Filed under: uncultured bacterium
Lineage: Bacteria
Description: bacterial SSU rRNA
Rfam family: Bacterial small subunit ribosomal RNA
Source: RNAcentral
UGCUUAGAUAUGACACAGAACACCGAUCGCGAAGGCAGCUAGCUAAGCUAUAACUGACGCUCAUGCACGAAAGCGUGGGGAUCAAACAGGAUUAGAUACCCUGGUAGUCCACGCUGUAAACGAUGAUUACUCGAUGUUGGCGAUACACAGUCAGCGUCUAAGGGAAACCAAUAAGUAAUCCACCUGGGGAGUACGAUCGCAAGAUUGAAACUCAAAGGAAUUGACGGGGGCCCGCACAAGCGGAGGAGCAUGUGGUUUAAUUCGAUGAUACGCGAGGAACCUUACCUGGGCUAGAACGUAGAGAGACUAUAGGAGAAAUCUUAUAUCCCUUCGGGGCUGUCUACGAGGUGCUGCAUGGUUGUCGUCAGCUCGUGCCGUGAGGUGUCGGGUUAAGUCCCAUAACGAGCGCAACCCCUAUCUUUAGUUGCCAACAGGUCAAGCUGGGGACUCUAAAGAAACUGCCUACGCAAGUAGUGAGGAAGGCGGGGAUGACGUCAAAUCAGCACGGCCCUUACGUCCAGGGCUACACACGUGCUACAAUGGCCGAUACAGAGGGCAGCUACCUGGUGACAGGA